Molecule: ribosomal RNA, 827 nt
Filed under: Limosilactobacillus vaginalis
Lineage: Bacteria; Bacillati; Bacillota; Bacilli; Lactobacillales; Lactobacillaceae
Description: bacterial SSU rRNA
Rfam family: Bacterial small subunit ribosomal RNA
Source: RNAcentral
GCCCAACUGAUAUGACGUGCUUGCACUGAAUUGACGUUGGAUUACCAGUGAGCGGCGGACGGGUGAGUAACACGUGGGCAACCUGCCCUGAAGUGGGGGAUAACAUCUGGAAACAGGUGCUAAUACCGCAUAACAACGAAAACCACAUGGUUUUCGUUUCAAAGAUGGUUUCGGCUAUCACUUCAGGAUGGGCCCGCGGUGCAUUAGCUAGUUGGUAAGGUAACGGCUUACCAAGGCAAUGAUGCAUAGCCGAGUUGAGAGACUGAUCGGCCACAAUGGAACUGAGACACGGUCCAUACUCCUACGGGAGGCAGCAGUAGGGAAUCUUCCACAAUGGGCGCAAGCCUGAUGGAGCAACACCGCGUGAGUGAAGAAGGGUUUCGGCUCGUAAAGCUCUGUUGUUGGAGAAGAACGUGCGUGAGAGUAACUGUUCACGCAGUGACGGUAUCCAACCAGAAAGUCACGGCUAACUACGUGCCAGCAGCCGCGGUAAUACGUAGGUGGCAAGCGUUAUCCGGAUUUAUUGGGCGUAAAGCGAGCGCAGGCGGUUGCUUAGGUCUGAUGUGAAAGCCUUCGGCUUAACCGAAGAAGGGCAUCGGAAACCGGGCGACUUGAGUGCAGAAGAGGACAGUGGAACUCCAUGUGUAGCGGUGGAAUGCGUAGAUAUAUGGAAGAACACCAGUGGCGAAGGCGGCUGUCUGGUCUGCAACUGACGCUGAGGCUCGAAAGCAUGGGUAGCGAACAGGAUUAGAUACCCUGGUAGUCCAUGCCGUAAACGAUGAGUGCUAGGUGUUGGAGGGUUUCCGCCCUUCAGUGCCGGAGCUAAC